This 2961-nucleotide unclassified non-coding RNA is filed under the name Leishmania donovani. Its description in RNAcentral is "gene:LdHU3.36.8180(CDS-product:kinetoplast_DNA-as sociated_protein_putative)". The record is from RNAcentral. Lineage: Eukaryota; Euglenozoa; Kinetoplastea; Trypanosomatida; Trypanosomatidae.
AAAGUCCCCCACCGCACAUCCGGUCACCUCGGUGCAGCACGCAAGGAGACAGAAAGAGAGAGACGCAGCGCCUCCUCCCGGCCCGACCUCGUCUCCCCCCUUCGUCGAAGCUCUCCACACGACUGUCUCGCGCAUCCCUUCCCUGCUCUGCUUCUCGCGUCCGCGUCCACACCCAUACGUACACCCCACAUAGAGCUUUCUCUUCGUUUGCUAUUGCGCUGCUUCUGAGCAGCGCCUGAAACCUCUAUAUUUUUUUUUUUAGAACUACUGAACCCCCACCAACCCUCACACCUGCCGCCCUCCAUGUUCCGCGCAGCUCGUCUUCUCCGCGGCGUUAGCCCCUUCUCCGUCUUCCUGAUGGACCAGAAGAACAACCCGUCGCUACAGGGCGUGUCGAUUGCGAAGCGCGGCAAGAUGCUCUCCAAGAUGUACAAGGAGCUCUCGCAGCAGCAGCGUCGCGAUCUACAGAAAAGAGCGCAGGUGCACCCAAGCCUGCGCAAGCGGAAGCGCGCAAGGCCGCCGCGCAAGACGGAAUUCGCCGAGUUUGUGCGUCAGAACUACAAGGUAGUGCAGGGUCUCAACUACCGCAAGCGCUUCUCUGCCUUGUCUCAGCUAUACGAGCUCCACAAGCCGAUCGAUGUGCAGGUGGCCAAAGCACUAAAAGAGGCAAAUGCCAGAAAGGUUACCUCGGCCAAGACCGCUGUGAAAAAGGCUGCCACCAAGCCCAAGACCGCCAAGAGAGCCAAGGCGGAGAAAAGCGCCGCGAAGAAGUCUGCCGGAAAAAAAUAGGGACGCUGCUCUUGGUGUCUCGUAUUUUGUUUUGUUUUGCGCGGUUGCUGCCGAAGCUGUGAGGCCGAAAAAGCGAGAUGGCGUACACCCGAUCUACGCGCUCCCUUGAUCAGGCGGGUCGUUCCGAGUACUCUUUCACCCUUUACCCGUCUUUUCUCCUCUUUACGUCUCCGGCGAGCGCUGCUCUGUGUUUUUGCUCUUGUUGGCUUGUUGGGAGGUCGAGGUCUACUGAGCAGGACUCGAGCGCGCCGCCUAACCCACCCGCCCGCCUGUGUGCUUGCUCGCCUUUCACCCUCUUGAGUUGCCCUCCUCUUUUUUUCGUCGUUAAGCAUGCUUUGUUUCCCCGUCGUUGUUUUAUUUAGAUUACUGCGCUUUUUCGUGUCCCGUACCCGCUCAACGCGAGGUUUGAUGCAGAGCGGGUCUGCGACUAGGAUUCCCUCGCUUCCUUUCCCUCCGCUUCCUUCUCCCUGUGUCUAUAUGUGCACGGCGCCCUGUCAUUGCCCUUGCCUGAUGAGCUUGAUCUGUGAGUCAUCGGUGUGCCAUCCAGCGAACUCGCACGCGCAACUCAUCCUAUUCUGCACGCGCCCAUCAACAGCACAUACACAGCAUGCCUUUGCCGUUCCAUGUGCUCUUGUUUUUGGUUGUUGUUUUUUCUCUCCUGGUCUUUUGUGUCUCUUGAUGUUACAUCUCUCUUUACUUUUCCUCGACCUCGACGGCACGCGUGUAUUUGUACGUAGAUGAUGACGGCCACCCCCAACCCCUCCUUUUUAUGUAUUUUCUCUGCAGAGGGGUGAGGGACCACGAGCGACGGCCUGUGCAGCUCUUGGCGAGCGAAGGAAAGGGAACUGAAUGCCCAUGGUGGCCAUUGCAAAUAGAAAAAAAAGUGGUGAAAGAUGGAGACGGAUUCAACUACCGCGUUCACGCUGUGUGUGUGGGUGUUUUUCCUACAAGGAAGCAGAUCGCCGUUAUCUGAGAAUAGAUCGGCGAUAAGGUCAGAGAUCGACUGAGCCGGUGCACAGGAACUCCCUAAAUGCGGUGAAACGAGAACCGAACGGGAGAGCAGGACGCCGCUAAAGCGCACGAAUGCACUGAAGAGUGAGGCCGUUGGCGGAGGCGGUACUCAUUUACAAGCACUUGUCUUUCAGGAGCCCGCGUGAGUCACCGUCACAAGGGUCACCGCGGAGGUGUGUAGCCGCUCAAAAGAUUUCUAUAGUAGAAGGCUCUGUUCAAGCGUACAGCUACCUGAUGAUGAGUCACCUCUCAGCGCACCUGCUCGCGUGUCUUGUCCUCUCCUCUCCAGCUGACCGCCCUCUGUCUCUCGCCCUGUCUAUUUCGUCCGCGCCUUCUGGUGUAGGAAUGUGUGCGCAUGCAUCGUCUUUGAACUCAUUCGCUCCUCUUCUUUUGUAGACGCUACCGACUGUGCUGGCGCACAUACAGCCUCUCCUCCUCUACCCUGUCUUCUCACUCUCGUUUUUCUCCCUUGAACGUCUCUGUCGUCGUGGCGCGACAGCGUCCUCCUCUGUCAUUCUUCUUCAGGUAUAGAUUUAGUUUUCAAGGCGUUUAUACGCGUGUCUGUGCGCGCUCAUGUGUGGUGCCUCUAGUGUUAGAUUGAGAUAUCGGCGCUUCUGUGUGCGUAGUGCGCGUUCUUCCUGUGUUCUUCUUCGCCGAGAGAGAGAGAGAGAGAACGUUUCAUAUAAAAAAAAAACGGCGAUGAAGGGAGAUGCAGCGAGGGUCGCGACGGCGCAUAGGGAACAACUUGAGGUGCGUGCGAGCAUGUUCGUUUUUGUUGUUGUUCUUCCCUUUUGCCCCAAAGGCCUUUGAACCUCAAUGCGUGCGACACCGGGAGAGGCAUACGAUUCAGCACGUUGUUACAUCGCCAUUCGUCCAUUGCGCCCGCGCCUCAUCUUCUGGGGUCACGAAUACUGUCGAGGUGUGUCCGUUUCGGGCGUAGCAUUCUGCUUUGCGUCCCUCACACACGGUGAUUCCACUCCAUUCCCUCCCUCGCUCUUUCCACUUCUGCCCUUGCUUGUCUGCGCGUCGUCGACCUUCUUUAUUCCGUCGUUCACACUCACAACUACGACGACUACCUUACUCCCUUCAUUUUCUUCGUUCCUUUUGCAUGCACGCACGCACGCACACACACACACACACACACACAUGCGCCGCUCACAG